CACGUAGGGCGCAAGCGUUGUCCGGAAUUAUUGGGCGUAAAGAGCUCGUAGGCGGUCUGUUACGUCUGCUGUGAAAACCCGGGGCUUAACCCUGGGCUUGCAGUGGAUACGGGCAGACUAGAGGCAGGUAGGGGAGAAUGGAAUUCCCGGUGUAGCGGUGAAAUGCGCAGAUAUCAGGAGGAACACCUAUAGCGAAGGCAGCUCGCUGGGACGUUACUGACGCUGAGGCGCGAAAGCGUGGGGAGCGAACAGG
Molecule: ribosomal RNA, 253 nt
Filed under: uncultured bacterium
Lineage: Bacteria
Description: partial 16S ribosomal RNA
Rfam family: Bacterial small subunit ribosomal RNA
Source: RNAcentral